Molecule: long non-coding RNA, 236 nt
Filed under: Brassica rapa (field mustard)
Lineage: Eukaryota; Viridiplantae; Streptophyta; Magnoliopsida; Brassicales; Brassicaceae
Description: long non-coding RNA (BRAP_LNC006418)
Source: RNAcentral
GUACAUGCAAAGAAUAAUCAUCACUACAUAAAGAUGAGUUACAAUUUUUUUAAUAAUAUACAAUAGCUUUGACAAGAGUUUAUAUUAGUCAAACCUACCAUAUGUUAAGCGGUUAACAAAUCAAUUUCGAGGUUAAUUAUAACUUUUAAGUAAUGUGCGGAACCAUCCACAAAACUAAUAGUAAACGAAUUAUCCCCCAACAUAUAUUGCUUAGUGUCGUAAACGUGAAGAAAAAC